CAGACAAUGACAAGACAUUUAAUAAGGUCAGCAGCCAUGGUGAUGGGGAAGGCGUUUAUUUGAGAGGCAGCUAAUAACAAUGAACGAUUAUGGAAAUAAGAGAAAAUUCAGAGGACUGAAGAUUGGCACACGGUAGACAAUUUAGCAACGUGUCAAAUGCUUCAAAGAUGUGCAUAACCUGCAUCAAGUGUCAUACUAGUCAUGUGUCAUUUCCCUGAGGCAUGCAACUGAGAGGUCCUUGAUUAGUGCAUGGAAGCCCCUGCAUCCUAAACUUAACACGUGAUCCUGGUUAAAUGGAAGGCUUAAAGAACUUGAAAGGUUUUAAAAGAUGAUCUGUACCUCUGGCAGAGUGAAUACAGUGACAAUGACAAGUAAAGGCAACAAUUUGGGGAUGAACUUUGGCUCCGCUACUCAGGUAGACAGGACUUUGACUUCUUGGUGCCUCAGUUUCUUCUUGUGUCAAACUCGAAAGGAUACCUAUUAAACAGGAUUGUAGUAAGGAUUCAGUAUGACAAGCCACAUAAAAUUCUUGGCAUGGUGCCUGACACACAGAAGUUCUAUGCAACCUACCUCUUAUUACCAAUGGCAAGAAUAUCAUUCUGAAGAGUGCAAAGCUAUUUUAGGCACAUAUAUGGUUGUAUAUUCACAUCAGCCCUCCAAGUUGCAGAUUAUUAGCCCCAUUUACAGACGUGGAAACCAAAGCUUCAACAGGUUAAGAAAUAAGCUCCGCGCCAGGCGCGGUAGCUCA
This is a long non-coding RNA of Cercocebus atys (sooty mangabey), 748 nucleotides long. RefSeq lists it as uncharacterized. The record is from RefSeq and is a predicted model, not a curated record. The transcript has 4 exons. Lineage: Eukaryota; Metazoa; Chordata; Mammalia; Primates; Cercopithecidae.